CUACGGGUUGCUGCAGUGAGGAAUUUUGCGCAAUGGGGGAAACCCUGACGCAGCAACGCCGCGUGAGUGAAGAAGGCCCUUGGGUCGUAAAGCUCUGUCAAUGGGGAAGAAGUUAUUUAAUGUUAAUAGCGUUAUUUAUUGACGGUACCCAUGAAGGAAGCACCGGCUAACUCCGUGCCAGCAGCCGCGGUAAUACGGGGGGUGCAAGCGUUAUUCGGAAUUAUUGGGCGUAAAGGGCACGCAGGCGGUCCUGUCAGUCAGAUGUGAAAGCCCGGGGCUCAACCCCGGACGUGCAUUUGAACAGCAGGACUUGAGUACGGGAGAGGAAAGGGGAAUUCCUGGUGUAGAGGUGAAAUUCGUAGAUAUCAGGAGGAACACCGGUGGCGAAGGCGCCUUUCUGGACCGAUACUGACGCUGAGGUGCGAAGGCGUGGGUAGCGAACGGGAUUAGAUACCCCUGUAGUC
Molecule: ribosomal RNA, 464 nt
Filed under: uncultured bacterium
Lineage: Bacteria
Description: partial 16S ribosomal RNA
Rfam family: Bacterial small subunit ribosomal RNA
Source: RNAcentral